UAUGCUAAUAACAAUGCAGAAAAAGCACACAGGUGAUAAAUGUCCUCACUCAAAUACAUUUAUUAUCUGAGUAAUAACCUCGAAGUAUAAAGAACUGCAAUGGGUAUUAACUGCAUUACCUUGAACAAACAUCUUCAAAUACCACACAAUGCUUAGUAUAAUGUGUUGCAAAUAGAGCUGCAACAACUAAUCCAUAAUAGUUGAUAAUAAUCGAUAAUGAAAAUCGUUGACCGAGCAACCCUCCUCCCGGAACGGUCAUCGACGGCGAAGUCACGUAACCAGAGUGGUGUGUUCAGGCAUAGUUCAUCGUUCUUUUUCUCUUUCUCUGGUGGUCUUUCUGAUCGCAGCUUCAGGUUGCGUUCGGUGUGUUUUAAACGCUGAUGGCUUGAUUUGUCAGGUACGACUUCAUCGUGAGUCACAAAGUGCACUUCAGCAGCGUGGCCCCCACUCACUCACACACCUGUGUUCAUACAAGCCCGCUUUCUACACAACCCCGGAUCAUGCUGAUUGAUGAUGUAAGGAUUGAGGAUGUGGUCAUUUUCUUUAAUCGCACGUCUAUCAUUAGAGAAUCCGCAUCGUGUGAUCAAAAAUGGAGAACGCAUGUUAAUUUGUUAACCAUUAAAACCAGUACCAUUAUUGGUUCUUAAUGGUAUCCACUAGACAUAACAUGCCACCAAAGCAACAAAUUACCAGUAGACCUACAGGGACAUUACAGAUUCUACGAGGGUUUCCGUUGUGAUUGUUUUUUUCAGCAGGGAAAUUCCUAUUUCCAUUUUGGGAAUAAAUCAGAACAAAGUGUAACCAAAUAAUGAGCUAAUAAAAUUAUUUAUAUGUAAUUUGCAUUCAGUCUCUCAAUCUGGCAACAAUGAGAAGCUGUGUUUUUCUUUGUCUAUUUUACUUCUUUUUUUUAAGUGUACAAUAUCUGGAGGAAAAUACUAAAAUAGUUUUAUUCGAUUUAAAUGUAUUAAUUAUUGACAUCAUUGCCUACUGGAUUUCCUUUUUUAUUUUAGUAAUAAAUAUAUUUUAGGAAUAAAUCAUAGCAACCUGUGAUUAAAUUCAUAAUGAACUAAUUAAUGCACAGAAGAAAAAAAAACGUUUCAAAUUGCACUCGAUUGUUCAAUCUGGCAACAAUGAGAAGCUUUUAUUUAUAUUUACAUAAACUUCUGGGGGGAAAUACUAGAAAAUAAAUGUAUUAGAUUUAAAUUGGUUAAUCAUUAAUUGCAUUGUGGAUUCCUUUUUUUGCGCCUUUAACCAACAGUUGAAUAAUUUAAUAAUAAUAAUAAAAGUGCAACAGAUCUGAAAUGAAUAUAAAAUAUUAUUUAUUUGCUUACUUGUUCAGUCAAUGGUGCAAAAAGGUAUCUGGACUAGAUGACCUAUCUGGCCUUUGAUUAGGCCUACUGCGUCUUCUGAUGGAGAUGUAAAACGAAGUUUGUGAGUUUAAAAGACCCGUGUGUUCCUGUAAGAAGGACAGGGUGAAGGAAAUGCACCAUACCGUGACGUAGGGCACGGCCGACAUGCUGCAGCUCCAGACCCGGAGGGGUUGGCAGCUCAGGAUCAGAGACAAGCGACUCGGCGCGCCAGGAUCCGUAAUCUAAGGCGGCAAUUUCGGCGCUUAGAGUUCCUUUCGAACCGGUUUCACUGACUGCGUUUAACGUGCAGCGAAGGACGGGAUUAAGGCAGGUGAGCUGCAUGAUGGCAGGCUGAUCGCCGAUCAGAAGAAGGAGGUGGAAGAGAGGUGUUGUUUUUUUGUUGUUGUUGUAGUUAUUGUUGUUUUUGUUAAAUAAAAGGUUUCUUUAAACAACCAA
Molecule: long non-coding RNA, 1805 nt
Organism: Ictalurus punctatus (channel catfish)
Lineage: Eukaryota; Metazoa; Chordata; Actinopteri; Siluriformes; Ictaluridae
Exons: 4
Source: RefSeq, a predicted model, not a curated record